UACGGGGGGGGCAAGCGUUGUUCGGAAUUACUGGGCGUAAAGGGCUCGUAGGCGGCCAACUAAGUCACACGUGAAAUCCCUCGGCUUAACCGGGGAACUGCGUGUGAUACUGGAUGGCUUGAGUUCGGGAGAGGGAUGCGGAAUUCCAGGUGUAGCGGUGAAAUGCGUAGAUAUCUGGAGGAACACCGGUGGCGAAGGCGGCAUCCUGGACCGACACUGACGCUGAGGAGCGAAAGCCAGGGGAGCAAACGGG
This 253-nucleotide ribosomal RNA is filed under the name uncultured bacterium. Its description in RNAcentral is "partial 16S ribosomal RNA". It matches the Rfam family "Bacterial small subunit ribosomal RNA", at positions 524 to 776 of the family's 1533-position model. The record is from RNAcentral.